Small nuclear RNA from Rhineura floridana, 127 nucleotides. RefSeq annotates it as U4atac minor spliceosomal RNA. The transcript has a single exon. Lineage: Eukaryota; Metazoa; Chordata; Lepidosauria; Squamata; Rhineuridae. The record is from RefSeq and is a predicted model, not a curated record.
ACCGUCCUUAUCUUGGGGUUGCGCUACUGUUCAAUGAACGCGUAGUGAGAACAGUACUGCUAACACUUGAACAACACGUACGCAUCCUUGGGGUUUAUAUCCCAAUUGAGGUGCAAUUUUUGGAACC